This 390-nucleotide ribosomal RNA is filed under the name uncultured bacterium. RNAcentral describes it as "bacterial SSU rRNA". It matches the Rfam family "Bacterial small subunit ribosomal RNA", at positions 151 to 518 of the family's 1533-position model. The record is from RNAcentral.
CCAAAGGGGUACGUAAUACCGGAUAUUCUUGCUUUUCAUAAGUUAUGCAAGCAAAGGUAGGCCUCCUGCAUAUGCUACUGCAUGAAGAGGGGUCUGCGUACCAUUAGCUAGUAGGUGGGGUAAUGGCCUACCUAGGCGACGAUGGUUAGCGGGUCUGAGAGGAUGAUCCGCCACACUGGCACUGGAACACGGGCCAGACUCCUACGGGAGGCAGCAGUGAGGAAUAUUGCGCAAUGGGGGAAACCCUGACGCAGCGACGCCGCGUGAGUGAAGGAAGGCCUUCGGGUCGUAAAGCUCUGUCAAGAGGAAAGAAGUGUACAAUGGCUAAUACCUGUUGUAUUUGACGGUACCUCUAAAGGAAGCACCGGCUAACUCCGUGCCAGCAGCCGC